UCUGAGGAAGAUGAAAGUCUCCCGUGCACCCAGCUCUGGCUGAGGACGGAAUGACCUGGGGAGAACUUGGGCACUUCAGGUUUUGUGCCCAGACUCCUCCUGUUGUCCCUGCCCACCUCUCCUACCCCUUCCUCCUCUGGAAGCAGUCUUUCUCUUGCUCAAAAAAGCCCCAAUCCUAUCUCUGAUUCUAGCUGCCCACAAAGCCCCAGGGAGAAAACCUUCCCAAAAAGGCAGUGGAUAAAUCAGAAUGCAGUGAGGAGCGGAUCCUUUCCAGGACCAAGACAGAUGCUGAAGAAGACAGCAGGGACCGGAGCCCAGCAAACUGGAUGAGAGCAGCAAGGCCUUCAUGCAUCUUCAGGCUCCAUCAGCAGAGGGAGAGAAUGCAUUAGACGGGAGUUUCCUGACUCCUAUUUUCUAAUGUGGCAGUCCUAAUGAGAAGAGGGUUUGAAGCGCUAAGAUGUGCUGACAGUCCUAAUGGUUUGUUAUGAGUUUCCUUAGAAAAAUUAAACACUGAAAAACAAA
This is a long non-coding RNA of Homo sapiens (human), 522 nucleotides long. NCBI's taxonomy places the organism in Eukaryota, Metazoa, Chordata, Mammalia, Primates, Hominidae. The record is from Ensembl.